This 431-nucleotide ribosomal RNA is filed under the name uncultured bacterium. Its description in RNAcentral is "partial 16S ribosomal RNA". It matches the Rfam family "Bacterial small subunit ribosomal RNA", at positions 29 to 507 of the family's 1533-position model. The record is from RNAcentral.
AACGAACGCUGGCGGCAGGCCUAACACAUGCAAGUCGAGCGCCCCGCCAGGGGAGCGGCGGACGGGUGCGUAACGCGUGGGAAUAUGCCCUUUGCUACGGAAUAGUCUCGGGAAACUGGGGGUAAUACCGUAUACGCCCUUUGGGGGAAAGAUUUAUCGGCGAAGGAUUAGCCCGCGUUGGAUUAGGUAGUUGGUGGGGUAAUGGCCUACCAAGCCGACGAUCCAUAGCUGGUUUGAGAGGAUGAUCAGCCACACUGGGACUGAGACACGGCCCAGACUCCUACGGGAGGCAGCAGUGGGGAAUCUUAGACAAUGGGGGCAACCCUGAUCUAGCCAUGCCGCGUGAGUGAUGAAGGCCUUAGGGUUGUAAAGCUCUUUCAGCUGGGAAGAUAAUGACGUUACCAGCAGAAGAAGCCCCGGCUAACUCCGUG